CGGCGUGCCUAAUACAUGCAAGUCGAACGCACUCUCGUUUAGAUUGAAGGAGCUUGCUCCUGAUUGAUAAACAUUUGAGUGAGUGGCGGACGGGUGAGUAACACGUGGGUAACCUGCCCUAAAGUGGGGGAUAACAUUUGGAAACAGAUGCUAAUACCGCAUAAAACCUAACACCGCAUGGUGUAGGGUUGAAAGAUGGUUUCGGCUAUCACUUUAGGAUGGACCCGCGGUGCAUUAGUUAGUUGGUGAGGUAAAGGCUCACCAAGACCGUGAUGCAUAGCCGACCUGAGAGGGUAAUCGGCCACACUGGGACUGAGACACGGCCCAGACUCCUACGGGAGGCAGCAGUAGGGAAUCUUCCACAAUGGACGAAAGUCUGAUGGAGCAACGCCGCGUGAGUGAAGAAGGUUUUCGGAUCGUAAAACUCUGUUGUUGGAGAAGAAUGUAUCUGAUAGUAACUGAUCAGGUAGUGACGGUAUCCAACCAGAAAGCCACGGCUAACUACGUGCCAGCAGCCGCGGUAAUACGUAGGUGGCAAGCGUUGUCCGGAUUUAUUGGGCGUAAAGCGAGCGCAGGCGGUUUCUUAAGUCUGAUGGAAAGCCUUCGGCUCAACCGAAGAAGUGCAUC
RNAcentral lists this ribosomal RNA (627 nucleotides) under Latilactobacillus sakei. RNAcentral's name for it is "bacterial SSU rRNA". It matches the Rfam family "Bacterial small subunit ribosomal RNA", at positions 40 to 627 of the family's 1533-position model. Lineage: Bacteria; Bacillati; Bacillota; Bacilli; Lactobacillales; Lactobacillaceae. The record is from RNAcentral.